GUGAGUAGAUAACGAAUGGGGGGACAACACAACACAACCUUGACCUUGAGUUUGACCCCGCCCAUUUUCCCUCUCUUUCUUUCAAGGCCACUCGUUCUCUCUCUUACUUUUCAAGGCCAACCCCUCCCACUUCCCCCACCACUUCAAGGCCAAGGCAUUAUUGGACCUUGAUGUUUUCAAGGUCAAGGUUAUUCAUGCUACUCCCCACUUUUUCAAGGCCAACAACUCCUCACUCAUUCAAGAUGAAUCGCGCAAUUGUCCUUACUCAUUUUCCACCCCAAACUGUAUAAAAGAUAAUGUGUUGUGUUGUGUAACACAGUUCUUGUGUAUAUCUACUAUAACAAGAAAUUCUUUAAAAAUGGAACCCAUCAGAAAAAGUUCUAUUUAUAAUACUCCUGAGGAUAUCAUAGUUUGUCCAUACGACAAAAACCACAUUCUUCUUUGGUUUCGGCUCGAAAGGCACAUAUGGAAGUGCCAUCGGGCCGAUAAAGAAAAACAAAGGGCCUUACAUGAAGUGAUGAUGAAGGAAGAAGAGGAGAACUGGGAUCAUUUCAAUGAGCCCAGCUACCUCGACUUCUUAAAAUCUAAAAGGAAUCAUAAUGCCUUAAAUUAAAGAAGGUCGGGGUUCUUUCGUAAAAAUAGUGUAGAAUAAGUUUAGCAAAGUAGUAGUAGUCGUAGUAAACUGUAAAUAUUAUAUUAUUGUAUAAAAAAAAUAAAAGUUGUAAAAAAAAGCUACAUGUUUUUAUGUACACCUAUUUCAACCUACUGAUACAAGUAAGUGUGACCUGCAAGCAGAGAGUCGCUCACUGUUUCAAGACCACUCAUUCCCUCUUUAUCUUUGAUGUUUUCAUCUCACUUUUUCUCAUUAUCUCACUUUUUCAAGGCCACAAUAUUGAUGCAUUUUCAUUCAAGGUUAAAAAGUGGGGGUAUAGUUAAUAUAUAGAAUUUAGUACAAGUUUGAUAGCAGUCAGUACUGAUUUAAUCCUCCGAGAAAUAAUAAUAUAAAAAAAGUGCAUAUAUCUGUGUUAAUGUCUAAGAGUAUUCGCUGCUGGGUCAUGGAUGUAUUGAAUCGAAUCGCUCGAUGCGGACAGAAACCCAUUUUAAAAGCUGGUGAGCUAGAGUUGAACACAAGAUUCCGCAUACAUAAUAUUAGACGCACAAAGUCUCUGUUCGGAAAUUCAGUGCUUGUUGAGUUGGACAAUUAUGCAGUGUUUCUGCCGAGAAGAAUAAGUGAUUAUUUAACUGAGGAGAAAAUUGAUGAGUUAUUACGAGAUCCACGUCCACUAUAUUUAAUAUAUUUGGGAAAAGAAGAUGCUAGAAACCCGACAUCUGCACAUUGUUUUGAGUUUCAACGUGUUGAUGAUGAAAUAUUAGGUGAGUGAACAUAAUGUAAAAUGGAGGAUGAAAAGAAAUUAAAGAAAUGUAUAUUUCAUUUACAGUUAACGAGAGUGCCGAAGAGUAGGAUGAAAUUAUCGGAAAAAGACUUAUGUGUGUGAAGUAGUGUGCGUUUUGUGCUAGUGAUAGUUUCUUAAAAUAAAUGAAUAAAAAUCAUGUGUCUAGACGAUGGACAAUAUGAAAAAUGUUUAUACGAGUGUUUUGAUAAAAGACUGUUAUCAUAUAAGAACUGGGUACAUUCAUACCCAUCUCCAUGGAGUUUAGCAAAAGCGGGAUUGUUUUAUAUUCAAAUAUCUGAUUGUACCCAGUGUUUUGUUUGUGGAGUAAUAAUUUCACGAUGGGAAAAAAGUGAUGAUGCGUUUAUGGAGCAUAAAAAACAUUCUCCAAAAUGUGGAUAUGUGAAAUUGCUUUCCACAGACAAAACUACAAUUCAAAAAUUCAAAUUAGUUACUAAAAAUAGCAUUGUUGUAGUUUUAUUUUUUAUAGUAUUUGUAUUCAUGUAUUAUUUAUGGGCGUCUUCUUAUGCAUAGGUAAUGUGAUGCAGACUUGUUAACCUUGAUCAGUGUCGGGCGCGCGCCAAAGGUGAGGUAAACUAAAGGUUUCAAGAGACGUCUUGAUUUAAUUAGUUUAUAAUUAAAUAAGUGGUAGAAUAAUAUGGAGGAUUUAUAAUAGAUUUAAGGAUAUUUAAUGUACUACCUAUAAUAUUGAUGAAAUAAAGUGUUUUAAUUGA
Molecule: long non-coding RNA, 2125 nt
Organism: Tribolium castaneum (red flour beetle)
Lineage: Eukaryota; Metazoa; Arthropoda; Insecta; Coleoptera; Tenebrionidae
Exons: 3
Source: RefSeq, a predicted model, not a curated record